This 32-nucleotide non-coding RNA is filed under the name Homo sapiens (human). The record is from RNAcentral. Lineage: Eukaryota; Metazoa; Chordata; Mammalia; Primates; Hominidae.
UGGGAUCACAGGCACUCACCACCACGCCUGGC